RNAcentral lists this ribosomal RNA (61 nucleotides) under Solanum medians. Lineage: Eukaryota; Viridiplantae; Streptophyta; Magnoliopsida; Solanales; Solanaceae. The record is from RNAcentral.
GGAUGCGAUCAUACCAGCACUAACGCACCGGAUCCCAUCAAAACUCCGAAGUUAAGCGUGC